Molecule: ribosomal RNA, 426 nt
Filed under: uncultured Actinomycetes bacterium
Lineage: Bacteria; Bacillati; Actinomycetota; Actinomycetes
Description: bacterial SSU rRNA
Rfam family: Bacterial small subunit ribosomal RNA
Source: RNAcentral
GCGGCCUAUCAGCUUGUUGGUGAGGUAAUGGCUCACCAAGGCGACGACGGGUAGCCGGCCUGAGAGGGCGACCGGCCACACUGGGACUGAGACACGGCCCAGACUCCUACGGGAGGCAGCAGUGGGGAAUAUUGGGCAAUGGAGGGAACUCUGACCCAGCGACGCCGCGUGCGGGAUGAAGGCCUUCGGGUUGUAAACCGCUUUCAGCAGGGAAGAAGCGAAAGUGACGGUACCUGCAGAAGAAGCACCGGCUAACUAUGUGCCAGCAGCCGCGGUAAUACAUAGGGUGCAAGCGUUGUCCGGAAUUAUUGGGCGUAAAGAGCUCGUAGGUGGUUCGUUACGUCGGAUGUGAAACUCUGGGGCUCAACCCCAGACCUGCAUUCGAUACGGGCGAACUAGAGUGUGGUAGGGGAGACUGGAAUUCCU